GGCCCUGUUUGGGGGAGCUGUUGGCAGUAGAGCUGUUGGAAGUAGAGCCGUUGGAAGUAGAGCUGUCUGAAGUAGAGCUGUUAUAAAAAUCUGUUUGCUGUUUGGUAACUACAUUCGUAAAGUGCUGUGGUAUUUUGUUUUGUGUUUGGUAAACAAACUGAGAAAGUACUUUUAUAUGACAAAAUUACCAUAAAGGACAUUGCAUAGUAUUAUACAACACAACAUAAUAAAACAUAACAUAAAUUAAUACAUAAAUAUACGAUAUAGUAUAAUAUUAUUGUAAUAUAAAAUAAUAUUAUGUUAAUAUAGUAUAAUAGUAAUAAAAU
Molecule: long non-coding RNA, 326 nt
Filed under: Phoenix dactylifera (date palm)
Lineage: Eukaryota; Viridiplantae; Streptophyta; Magnoliopsida; Arecales; Arecaceae
Description: long non-coding RNA (PDAC_LNC020113)
Source: RNAcentral